Molecule: ribosomal RNA, 774 nt
Filed under: uncultured Neocallimastigales
Lineage: Eukaryota; Fungi; Neocallimastigomycota; Neocallimastigomycetes; Neocallimastigales
Description: partial large subunit ribosomal RNA
Rfam family: Eukaryotic large subunit ribosomal RNA
Source: RNAcentral
GUACACGCUGUGAUUAGCAUAUCAAUAAGCGGAGGAAAAGAAACUAACAAGGAUUCCCCUAGUAACGGCGAGUGAAGCGGGAAGAGCUCAAAUUUGAAAUCUUAAGGGUUUCCCUUUACGAAUUGUAGUUUAAAGAAGUGUUUUCUGUUGAGGUUUUGGUAAAAGUUCUUUGGAAUAGGACAUCAUAGAGGGUGAGAAUCCCGUAUUUGACCUUUACUUUCAACUUUGUGAUACACUUUCAAAGAGUCGGAUUGUUUGGGAAUGCAGUCCAAAAUGGGUGGUAAAUUUCAUCUAAAGCUAAAUAUUGGCGAGAGACCGAUAGCGAACAAGUACCGUGAGGGAAAGAUGAAAAGAACUUUGAAAAGAGAGUUAAACAGUACGUGAAAUUGUCAAAAGGGAAGCGUUUGACACCAGUGUUGUUUUUCUGAAAAUCAAUUAAAGAACUGUUUAUGCUAAGCUGUUUAGACUUUAUCAGCUAAUCUGUUUAGUUUUGAGCUUUUCUUUAAUGCACUUUUCAGUUAACAAGUCAACAUCAAUUUCUUUUGCUGUAAAAAAGCUUGAGGAAGGUGGCUUGAGAUUCGUCUUAAGUGUUUAUAGCCUCUUGCCUAUGCAGUCGGAGAGAUUGAGGUCUGCAGCGUAGAUCCUUCGGGGCUAAAUGCAUUUGUGCUAAGUUAUAGCAUUUUAUAGACAACUUGUUGACUAUGAUUUGUCUUGUAGCUUACUCGCUUAUGUUAUUUUACCUACGCUUAGGAUGUUGACAGCAGUAUAGACUGU